AUGCAAAGCAAGUAUGCGGAGAAGCGGUACCUUUUACUAACCCGGGUUCGGAGUUCCCCAGGGGCUUUUGCGGAUUUACCACGCAGUGUAUCGGACGCCGUGGAGUUCUAUCGAGCCGAAGGAGGGAGUUCGAUGGAAAAGCUAUCCCGGUCGCGAUAUGCGGCGCCAGAACCUCCCGUGUCCUUCACCGAUCAACUGAAACAGCUGGUGGAGCUGCAUAGGGUGGCCGAACUAGCCAUGAAGGAUUUGAUAAUCCGGCUAUGGUCAGCCGAAGCUAUGCUUGGUAGCUACUUCGGACUCAUGAGGCGGAUGGUGAACGCCUGUCCUCGGCUGGACGUCGUCAAGCGCUCUGCCUGUAUUGAAGGUGCCCGCAUGGCCUUCGCCUGUCGCAAGAUGUGGUGGGCGAAGAUGAACGCCGUUGAAGUGGCCAGAGGGCCGCCGGAGGGCAAGGAGCACCGCAUACCCGAGCGGUAUUUUGCGGAUGUCAUAGAAGGGUCUCGACUUGCAGCAGCUGAGUGCGGGCAGGACAUUAUUUUCGAAUGA
This 543-nucleotide ribosomal RNA is filed under the name Triticum aestivum (bread wheat). RNAcentral describes it as "partial small subunit ribosomal RNA". Lineage: Eukaryota; Viridiplantae; Streptophyta; Magnoliopsida; Poales; Poaceae. The record is from RNAcentral.